UUCGCACUUUGGCCUCCAUUUUCCAGUUGACCUCUCUCUCUCUCUCUCUCUCUCUCUCACUGUGCAUCUCUUCCUCGUCAAACAAAUUGGAGCUCUGAUUCCUUAGCUCUGACCAAAACAAAUCUCACCACAGAUGGAGGCUGAAACCCUCUCAUUCUCUUAGCAAUGUCGUCGCGACUGACGAGACGGAGACCGAGACAGCUAGCAUCACAAGCAUCACAACAGCCGCGACGCUUCCGAUGACCACCACCGCCAACACCGCGCUCGAUCUGACCGCGAUUCGAAGCCCGAGCGCUCCCACGACCAUAGAUCUCGCCGUGACAGGUCGCAGGAGCCGCGGGACGACCGGGAAGAGUCGCACGACCACCGCGAGUGGUCGUACGAGAGGGAAGGGAGUAGAGGGAGGUCCAGGCAUCAUGGGAGAGGUCUGAGGAGGGAGAGGAGUGAGGAUAGAGGUGGCGGUGUGGAUGAGUCUGAAGAUUUAAAGAGAUCUAGGGGUUUGGAUAAAGAGGAAAGAGAGGAAGCGAUUUGAUGAAUGGCGAGUAAAGGAAGAAGAGGAUGAGAAUUAUGCUGGAGAAUUGGAAAGGAGCACUAAAGAGAAUGUGGUUCACAGUGAGGUUAAGGUUAAGAAAGAAGAAUUGGAGAAUGAUGAGGGCUUCACUACCACCCAAAAUGGGGGUGCUCCGGUGGGUAAUGUGAGUUUUCUCUGAACUUUUUCUGUGUUUUACUAUUGUGCAUUUGAUAAUUGCCAUUGUUUGAUAACUGAUAAUAUUCACAUUUGGGUUGCAUCUUUGGUGGAUACAUUUAGGCUAGCAUUUGUAAUAUCUUAUAAAUCUGUGACGAUGAUUUUCUGUUAAGAAUGAUUGAGGAAUACAUUAAACAGAAGCAUAAAGAUUGCGAUAUUUGAAUGGAAUUUAGUUCAAAGGAUUUUGACUUCUAAAAGCUGCACUUUGUCCCUAGACGCCUCCGAUCCCCUCCAUAGUUCAAAGGAUUUUGGUUCAUUGUAUAAGGACUUGAGUAACCAACCUAGGUUAUUUCAAACCCAACUUUCCGAAAUAAAGAAGAGAUUAAGCUAUUGGACGAACCCUGAUAAGAUCAACAAUGUAGAUCAGUUGGGGCAAAUGGAAGAUUCAAUUCAAGAAUCGUGUAACCAGAUUCAAACACAUAAGGUAUCCUCCUGCUUCAUUUGUGGAUCUCAUUAUAAGAAAUAGUGUAUACCCUGCUGAUGUUAAGAUUGUGCUGUUUGAAUAAUGUCACAUGAUUAAUCUUUUGUAUAAUUGUGAAAUUCUAUGGUUAAGCGGUAGAUUUCUUUUCCAAUUAUGAUGUUUAAAUUAACCGCUAUGGCGACGGCAACGGAGCUCUUUUCAAAUCCUUGGCGGUUAUGAUCGACAGCCGGCGUUGUUCUGUCGAGAUCGGAUGCUGUGGUCACCGACUGUUGCUCUGUUAAAUGUUACUGGUUGAUUAUUCCGCUUUGAUGGGUUAAUUAUAACUUUCUGAUGAUUGGGGAUGUAUUAAGGUAUGGGGACGAUAGGCUCUGGGGGUUGAGGGGUUGUGGUCUGGACGGAUCUUUGUCAUCGGGCCUUUGCCAUGGCAGGUGCACUUGCAUGGCAGGUCUAAAAGAUUAAUAGUAAAAGAAAAGAUUUUUUGGUUUGAGGGGGGAGACAGCAUGGGGAUUUUUAGCCCAGGGUCUCUUCCCCUAUGAAUCUUUUUUCUUUAUUUGAAUUAUGUUAUGUUUUGGAUAUGUCCAGGGACUUUUCUCUUUUAUUUACAAUGCAAAAAAUACUGUAAAGUAUACACAAGAGGUUGCAUGAUGAAAGUGAAGGGUGUUCGAUAUAUUAGCAGAGAAAGCAUCUUUUUGGCUGCUGCACCACAAGUUUCUUUUAUUCCAUUUUCAUUAGAAACUACGUUCACAUUCUUGUUUUAGUAAAAAUAAUUCUCUUUCCUAUCCUUUUUUAUUUUUAUUUUUAUUUUUUUGUCUGAACUCUUUUUGCUUCCUGAUUAUCUGGUUCCUCCUAAAAGUUCUUGGUGGUGGUUUCUUCGUUUUUGUUUCUAUUUUUUCUUUUCCCUUUUUCUGCUAUUGUUUUUUUGUCUGUCAACACAUAUAGAACUCAGUAUAUGGGGUCUUGUCAUGACUUUGGUUCUUAUGGAGAUAAUAAGAUUGUGAAUGAUUUAGUGAUUUAA
RNA transcript from Rosa chinensis, 2181 nucleotides. RefSeq lists it as uncharacterized. The record is from RefSeq and is a predicted model, not a curated record. Lineage: Eukaryota; Viridiplantae; Streptophyta; Magnoliopsida; Rosales; Rosaceae. The transcript is spliced from 5 exons.